UUUCGUUUUAUAUUUUUUACCAACAAAUUUUAUUAAGCACACCAAUGCGAGGCUGGCAACAAAACAACAGAGACAAAGACCAAACCGGAACCAACAAUUACACAAAACAAUUCUUAGGAGAAAACCUUCAGUUUUGCCAACAUAAAGUACCAUGAUGCUUCGAUCUGUUCUCGAUCCAUGAAAACAGCUGCGCCGUAACAUUAUCCAUAGUAAUCUCGAAAGAAAGACCAUGCCUGUUAAAGAUUAGCUCAUUGCUAGCCUUCCAAAUAAACCACAAGAUUGUAUACGUCACAAACCCGAAAACUCUUUGAAACUAAAGUGGUAAAAAAUCCCAAAUACGAGGGGCUAAAACCACAAGUCUUAGUUACGUAUGAGAAACAAAAGGCGCUAGACAUCUUCUCAACAAUUCACAUCUCCUUCCUUCCUCACAACGAUGUCGAAAGACUUCAACGUCCCGCCGGUCAUCUUCCCCACCGGCGGCAAUCCCAACACCGCCCCACAACGCCGCCUACCCACCGCCCCAUUCCAACCACCCAGAUCCUCAAACCCUAGCAUCCCCUUCAUGUCCUUCGACAUCGCCUCCACCCCUCAAUUCACCAACAUCUCCGGCGGCACCGGCUCAACAAACUUCGACGACGAACCCCCUCUCCUCGAAGAACUCGGCAUAAACACGAAACAAAUCUGGCAUAAAACCCUCUCAAUUCUAAACCCGUUUCGAGUGAAACCAGAUCAUCACGAACAGGCUGAUUUAUCAGGUCCAUUUUUGUUUCUUAUGGCGUUUGGAUUGUUUCAGUUGGUUGCUGGGAAGUUGCAUUUUGGGAUUAUUUUGGGGUGGGUGACUGUGGCGUCUUUGUUUUUGUAUGUGGUGUUUAAUAUGUUGGCUGGGAGGAAUGGGAAUCUGGAUUUGUACAGGUGUUUGAGUUUGAUUGGGUAUUGUAUGUUGCCGAUUGUGAUGUUGUCUGCGUUUGCUUUGUUUGUUCCUCCUCAAGGUGGGAUUGUGUUGAUGGGGGUUUUUGUCAUGUGGUCCACUCGGGUUUGUACCGGGUUGCUGGUAGAGUUGGUGUCGUAUGGGGAUGAGCAUCGCGGGCUUGUUGCGGAACUCCAGUACGGUUGUGUUGUAAAUGGAUGGAGGCGUGGCUAUCGUCUUCAAAGCGUCAAAUUGUGUAGAGGGCUUUGGGUGGGCUUGUGCCAGUGAUAGUGGUUUGAUUAUAAGUUUUAGAUGAGUAUGAGACGACGAGAUCUUGUUGGAAAAUAGUAAGGCACAGAUUGCCUGAAACAUAUGCUGAUUUGAGAAGAGGAGAACCGAACUGAGAGGAUAUGCUUUGUAGCUUUUUCAGCAUUGUCGGGUAUGGAUGUUAAAAUGAAGUGAAAUUGUUUGACGCCCGAUGAUCACUUGAAAAGAACUAGGGUUUUGGGUGAGAAGUCAGAUCUCAAUUUGAUGGAAGUCUGUAACUAGGGUUCAUGAAGAAUGAAAUUGGGGAAGAUGAUAACUUUGGGUAUUAAAAGAGGCAUUCAAUGACAGAUCUAUCCUCACAUGACCUGUACAUGACCACAUUUAACUGAAAAAUCAAACUGGGUUAUGCCAAAAGGACAAAACGUGAUAGAUUUUAAAAGAUAAAGUGCAAAAAUCAUCAAUUUUAAACAUAAA
Helianthus annuus (common sunflower) is the source of this 1648-nucleotide RNA transcript. It is a transcript of the gene named protein YIPF5 homolog, with no coding region annotated. The record is from RefSeq and is a predicted model, not a curated record. The transcript is spliced from 3 exons. NCBI's taxonomy places the organism in Eukaryota, Viridiplantae, Streptophyta, Magnoliopsida, Asterales, Asteraceae.